This 467-nucleotide ribosomal RNA is filed under the name uncultured bacterium. RNAcentral describes it as "partial 16S ribosomal RNA". It matches the Rfam family "Bacterial small subunit ribosomal RNA", at positions 28 to 506 of the family's 1533-position model. The record is from RNAcentral.
GACGAACGCUGGCGGCGUGCUUAACACAUGCAAGUCGAACGGAAAGGCCCUGCUUUUGUGGGGUGCUCGAGUGGCGAACGGGUGAGUAACACGUGAGUAACCUGCCCUUGACUUUGGGAUAACUUCAGGAAACUGGGGCUAAUACCGGAUAGGAGCUCCUGCUGCAUGGUGGGGGUUGGAAAGUUUCGGCGGUUGGGGAUGGACUCGCGGCUUAUCAGCUUGUUGGUGGGGUAGUGGCUUACCAAGGCUUUGACGGGUAGCCGGCCUGAGAGGGUGACCGGCCACAUUGGGACUGAGAUACGGCCCAGACUCCUACGGGAGGCAGCAGUGGGGAAUAUUGCUCAAUGGGCGGAAGCCUGAUGCAGCAACGCCGCGUGCGGGAUGACGGCCUUCGGGUUGUAAACCGCUUUCGCCUGUGACGAAGCGUGAGUGACGGUAAUGGGUAAAGAAGCACCGGCUAACUACGU